AAGAACAAGAGAGAGGGUGGGAUCCUAGAUAUGAGGGUGAAAUUUUCGAUUCUCAGAAAGUUUAUUCGCUGAUACUUCUGUUGAAUUGGUUAAAGACAUGGCGUUGGAGCUGGUAGGGGGAGCUGUAUUGGGACUUGUGUUUGAACAACUCCGAAAGGAAGUAUGGAGGGUGAAGAACAACGUCGUGACGUUCAAACCCAAAUUGGAGGAACUUGAAGAAACACUUCGAUUUGUUAUGUCCUGUCAUCGAAGAGAUUGAAGAACUAAACAGACGAUUGAAAGGGACCAGAUUACAGAAGGGAAACUUUUGCCUUGAGGAGAUUGCUAGAAGAUGGUACGAAGCUUGUUUCCAAGUGCUCCAAAAUAGGAAGCUGGAACUUUCCCAAACAGUGUCAUUACAAGGAGAAGCUGAUGGAACUGGAUAACAAAAUCUUGAAGUUCCAUAACCUUCACAUGCAAGCUCAUAUGGCAAGGGAUCAAAAGAAGACCUUGCUAAUGGUGAACCCACAUAUUCAUGUUUCUCAAUCUUCAAGGCUAUCCAAAUCUUACUAUGGGCCACACUGCCUUCUCCUCUUCCAACGAUUCUAUCAAUGAGACUUCGGUGCUUCUGCUUCGCAUCUUUUCUCUUACAAAUCAGCUGAAUAUAUCGUUCUUGAGGGAAUGGCGGAGGAGUCCUCAAGUACGAGUAAUGGAAAAAUGCAUCGUCCUGGUCCCUGCCGCAUUAUAGCUGAGCUACAUCACGGCCUUGAUCUUCUUGUACAACUGGCUCGCUUGUUUCCAACAUCGACAGUAUUUGAAUAUUAUCAAGCUUAACUGGAAGUACUUGACAUAAAGUUAUUCACACAAAUUUCAACUCGAAACUUCGUGCUGAGACGGUCACAGCUCCUUUUACUAGAACCAACAAGUGGUUCAGAACAUGAGGAUGAGGAGAACGAGAAUGGUAGUGUUGGUCCUUCUUAUUCUUAUGAACCAACAAGAUCUGAUGAAAAGAUGACAACACAAAGUUAUCAGCCUCUGUUAGACUCCGAACAACUUCACACAGUCGAAGCAAAUAAUGCUGCUACGUUUGAGGCCAGAGAAGAACAAUUGACAGGUGAUCAGAACGAAGCAGUAGGGCCCAGCUAGGUCAAAACAGGGAGUUCAUUAAGCAAAUGAUGUCUCGAUUUGGACAUUCACGUUAAUUAAUCAGAUAAUUUUGGAACCCAUGACCCUGCAAUUGAUACAAAACUAUGAUAAUAUCUUCAGGAGGAUAAUGGAGAGGAUGAGUUUUGGGUGUUAAUUAAUGCUUAACAAUUAUUGUUGAAAUAUAAUUAUACUAUAGUGAUUUCUGUUGAUA
Prosopis cineraria is the source of this 1336-nucleotide RNA transcript. RefSeq lists it as uncharacterized. The record is from RefSeq and is a predicted model, not a curated record. NCBI's taxonomy places the organism in Eukaryota, Viridiplantae, Streptophyta, Magnoliopsida, Fabales, Fabaceae. The transcript has 6 exons.